CUACCAUGGUCCACUGGUUAGGGCGUCAGUUUAACAGUGAGAAGAUGCCGGUUCGAAUCCAGGUCUUUGCCAUAAUCUGCAGAGUUUGCACAUCAAGCUUUUUUUUGAAUGACCAGGUAUGUAAAGGCCUUUUUGGGUUGUUACUUAUGAGCUCGGGAAAGCACAGCUACCGUGGUCCACUGGUUAGGGCGUCAGUUCAACAGUGAGAAGAUGCCGGUUCGAAUCCAGGUCCCUGCUAUCAUUUGCAGAGUUUGCACAUCUAGCUUUUUUUUUUGAACGACCAGGUAUGUAAAGGCCUUUUUGGGUUGUUACUUAUGAGCUCGGGAAAGCACAGCUACCGUGGUCCACUGGUUAGGGCGUCAGUUCAACAGUGAGAAGAUGCCGGUUCGAAUCCAGGUCUUUGCCAUCAUCUGCAGAGUUUGCACAUACAGUAAGUCUCUCUCUCAUGACAAUGUUUGCCGUUUUUCGAUGAACA
Molecule: long non-coding RNA, 475 nt
Organism: Hippocampus zosterae (dwarf seahorse)
Lineage: Eukaryota; Metazoa; Chordata; Actinopteri; Syngnathiformes; Syngnathidae
Exons: 3
Source: RefSeq, a predicted model, not a curated record